Molecule: RNA transcript, 2359 nt
Organism: Musa acuminata AAA Group (dessert banana)
Lineage: Eukaryota; Viridiplantae; Streptophyta; Magnoliopsida; Zingiberales; Musaceae
Gene name: protein LOL2-like
Exons: 7
Source: RefSeq, a predicted model, not a curated record
UCUCUCUCUCUACUCGGGCGAAACGAGAAGGAAAAUGAAUCUGCAUCGACUCUGUAUCUUCAAGGAAACCCACCACGUUCCACUUCGCGCAUACGUUUGCCGUCGCCCAAAGAACUCCCCGUUACUUCUUCUCCGAUCGAAGAUGACGACGGCAUUGCUUUGCUGGUCGCCUUGGGACUACAUCUCCCCUUCGGGUCCAGCCAUCGAUUGUUGGACUGCAUGCGAUUCAACUAUGCAGGAAUGUCCUUGUUUACCCGAGGGGAGCCACUGACGUGCGUUGUGCAAUAUGCGGCACAACGACUGCAGCUCCUCCACCAGGAAUGAAGAUUGUUCAGCUUGUAUGUAGAGGCUGCUGAACAAUGUUGAUGUAUGCAAACGGUGCGACAAGUGUAAGGUGUUCCUGUUGUGACACCAUGAAUAUGACAGGAUCAGCAAAUCAGGUUGCUCAUCUGAACUGUGUCCAAUGUCAUCCGAUUCUGAUGUACCCUUAUGGAGCACCAUGUGUCAAAUGCGCAAUUUGUAACUACAUUACAAAUGCUGGGGUAUAAUUUGAAUCCUUCUAUAGUUCUUUUGGUUUUAGUUUUCACUAUUUUGUAUUAAUUAUUAACCUUCUCUGUUAAUAAAGAUGCAUAAUAUGAGAUUUCCAAUCCAUGUUGCUCAUAGGCCUAAUGAACCUACCCCUGUUCCUCCAUCAAUUUCAGUUCAAUCUUCCCGAGCUUCAAACAUGACCGUAGUUGUUGAGAACCCAAUGUCAGUGAAUGAAAAUGGCAAACUGGUGAGCAAUGUCCUGGUUGGAGUUACCACCAGGAAAAAAUGACAAUGGACCAGUUUUAGAAUCAGUUGGUUGAUAUUCCAGUUAAAUGAAGAUUAAGUCUCUUCUUCCUGGAGCUCAGGUUUUUAACAAAUGAUGGACACAAUGCCUAAAACCUGUUUUCUUUUUUUUUUCUAACUUUUGUAAAUGUGCCGUGUCACAUGGAAAUUUGUUGCAUCUGAUAGAUAUGCUACUGCAGUAGCAAGUGAUCUCACAAUUAAUGUCAAAUUACAUAAGACAAUAUACUUGUCCUGAUGAUUGCUUAUUUGUUUUGUUGGUUGACAUGAUAAUGGAAUUUUGUAAAGUUUCAUUUCUUUGGAUGGUUUACUACUGUAUUGCACCACAAGUUCAUUUUAAUAAGGCUCUUUGAUUUUAUUGAAACAGUUCUGGAUAUACUGAUUGCCCCAGGUCAGUUUCAGGAAAAACUCAUCAAAAUGUCUGUUCAAUCAUUCAUCAAAAGCACUAAUUAUGAAAAGAGGAUGUGAUGUUUAAUUGAUAUGAGAACUGUAUUAGUUGGAUUGCAUCUGGUCAUGUUUUGCUGCCUAAUAUUCAAUAGAUUAAAAUUUUUAUGGACCCCAGAUCUGUGACCUACAGGAUCACUUUGUUUUGUAGUCUCUUUGCAUCAUUUUCAUGAUAAGGCAUAUUCUGAAGAAUGUAUCUGUGAUUUAAUUAUUUGUUUACUGAGAGAACUUGAGGAAGCAUGGAAUAGGCACAAAACAGUUUUACUACAACUAGAUUUGAGGAACAGAUGGAUGCAGACCUUAGUCUGCCAGAGAAUGUUUCUUCUCAUGGGCAUGUAAAAUUCAUGAAAGCUCAAUGUAUAUAGUUUUACUUCCGGUGUAAUUUUGGGGAUUUUUAUUUAGAUAGAAAAGUCAAAAUGGCAUAUCAAUUCUAGUGUUUUUACAAUUAGAAUAUGACACUAGUUGAGGUCCUUAGUAUGUAUAUUGAUGGAGAAGAACUUCAAUAUAUAUAAAAGCUGAUAACUUUGGUGUCAUGGUAAGAUUGCUCUCUUUUUGUGAUAUAGCUGAUCAGGUUUCAGUAUAUUAACUCUUCCAUAUCAAAAAUUGGUGGAAACAUUAUGCACUGGGUCUUCCUGAACCAUACAUUUCAUUGUUGUUCAUUUAUACUAAAACCAUCACCCCAUUGUUUUUUAUUGGAUAGUUUAAGAUUCUAGAUCAAAUCAUUUUAUUAAUAACCUACUCACGGUAUCUAAUUGCCACAACAAUCAAGCAAAGUUGUCUGGUCUGUUAAAAUCAUUCUAAAUGUUCUCUAAAGAACAGUGACCUGCAGACAUGGAUGUUUGGGCAAGUGAUGUUGUUCACCAGUUGCAGAGAAGCAACCUGCAACCAUGGUGGAUUCCAAUGGAUGAUAGAUUUAAAGCAUAUCAGCUUCCAUGGUGGUCUUCCCUGUUAAGCUCUUUUGAGGACUAUAAGCAACAUGAUCACACAGGUAUCACAAAACAAAAGAGUGAUGUUUGCAGAAGAGAAGGUAAUCUGGUCACCACAGCAAAGUGAGGAUAUAAAGGACUUGAGAGCAUGACACUACCUU